GCCUCACUUGGGACAUAUACUAAAAUCGGGACGAUACAGAGAAGAUUAGCAUGGCCUCUGGGCAAGGGUGACACGCAAAUUUGCGAAGAGGUUGCUUCACUG
RNAcentral lists this small nuclear RNA (102 nucleotides) under Mustela putorius furo (domestic ferret). Lineage: Eukaryota; Metazoa; Chordata; Mammalia; Carnivora; Mustelidae. The record is from RNAcentral.